This 950-nucleotide ribosomal RNA is filed under the name Golofa eacus. Its description in RNAcentral is "partial 16S ribosomal RNA". The stretch from base 408 to 608 matches the Rfam family "Archaeal large subunit ribosomal RNA", at positions 1797 to 2106 of the family's 2987-position model. The record is from RNAcentral. Lineage: Eukaryota; Metazoa; Arthropoda; Insecta; Coleoptera; Scarabaeidae.
UCUCGAAUUUGGAAGAGCUAUGGUCUUAUAAAUUUGGUUGUGGCAAAAACUUUUAUCAUAGGACUAUUGUAGUGAAACGUUAAUCGUUUUCUAAGAUAUCUAGUUUCUUAAGAAAUAAAUUUAAUUUAUUUUUUUGUGUACACUUUUUUUAUUAAUUAAUUUAGUGUCUCUAAAAUUAAAUGUUCUGAGGGAUGAGCUUUAGAAUUGAUUUUUAAAAUUAUAAUUUUGUUAUAAUAGAGUUUGUAGGAUUGGAAAUGUUUAUCUGUAGUUUGUUAUAAUUAACUCUAUAUUAAAUAAGAUUUAUAUUUUGUUUAUUUUUUUUAUUAAGAUUAUGUAUCUAAUUAGAUUUUACAUGUAAUAAUGAUAGAAUUAGUAUAUUUAGUGUAUAUUUAUUUUAAGUUAAAAGGUUAAGUUAAGGAACUCGGCAAAUUAAUUCUUCGCCUGUUUAUUAAAAACAUGUCUUUUUGAUUAUAAUUUAAAGUCUGACCUGCCCAAUGAGGAGUUAAAUGGCCGCGGUAAUUUGACCGUGCAAAGGUAGCAUAAUCAUUAGUUUUUUAAUUGGAAGCUGGUAUGAAUGGUCGGACGAGGGGAUUACUGUCUCAAUUUAAUUGAUAUUAGAAUUUUAUUUAUAAGUUAAAAAGCUUAUAUAAUUUUAAAAGACGAGAAGACCCUAUAGAAUUUUAUAGCCGAUUAUUUAUUUUAUGAUUAGUAUUUUAGGUUUAAUAUAUAGUUUUCUAUUUUGUUGGGGCGACAAAAAAAUUCAAUAAACUUUUUUUUUAUUUGUUCAUUGAUGUAUGUAUAAUUGAUCCGUUGAUUACGAUUAAAAGAUAAAAUUACCUUAGGGAUAACAGCGUAAUUUUUUUUAGAGUUCUUAUCAAAAAAAGAGUUUGCGACCUCGAUGUUGGAUUAAAAUUAACUUUUGGUGUAGGUGCUAAAAGGUUAGGUCUGUU